AUACACAUUCCCAUACCUAGAUAGAUCAUCAGUAAAAAUAAUGAAGUAGAUAUAAUCAUCCCUAGCCUGCACAUCAAAUGAUCCACAUAUGUCGGUUUGUAUUAGGGCAAGUAACUCAAUGGCUCUCUCCCCAUGUCCUACAAAGGGUAACUUGAUCAUUUUUCCUCGAAGAUAGGAUUCGCAAGCUGGAUACUGAAAGAAUAAU
RNAcentral lists this long non-coding RNA (205 nucleotides) under Elaeis guineensis (African oil palm). RNAcentral describes it as "long non-coding RNA (EGUI_LNC069942)". Lineage: Eukaryota; Viridiplantae; Streptophyta; Magnoliopsida; Arecales; Arecaceae. The record is from RNAcentral.